GACGAACGCUGGCGGCGUGCUUAACACAUGCAAGUCGAGCGAGAAACCCUCUUCGGAGGGGGAGUACAGCGGCGAACGGGUGAGUAACACGUGGGCAACCUGCCCCAAGGAGCGGGACAACCCGGGGAAACCCGGGCUAAUACCGCAUGUUCCGCAGCGCCUGAAGGUGCUUCGGGAAAUGGUAGCUUCGGCCUCCGCCUUGGGAUGGGCCCGCGGCGCAUUAGCUUGUUGGUGAGGUAAUGGCUCACCAAGGCGACGAUGCGUAGCUGGUCUGAGAGGACGAUCAGCCACACUGGGACUGAGACACGGCCCAGACUCCUACGGGAGGCAGCAGUGGGGAAUCUUGCGCAAUGGGCGGAAGCCUGACGCAGCAACGCCGCGUGAGGGAAGACGGCCUGG
RNAcentral lists this ribosomal RNA (399 nucleotides) under uncultured bacterium. RNAcentral describes it as "bacterial SSU rRNA". It matches the Rfam family "Bacterial small subunit ribosomal RNA", at positions 28 to 419 of the family's 1533-position model. The record is from RNAcentral.